Meleagris gallopavo (turkey) is the source of this 1402-nucleotide non-coding RNA. The record is from RefSeq and is a predicted model, not a curated record. Lineage: Eukaryota; Metazoa; Chordata; Aves; Galliformes; Phasianidae.
CUCCUGUGCUGAGCACUCCCCAUCUGGACGCAGCGCUCCAGUCAAGAAGGAAGAAGGAGAGAAGGAGAGGAAGAAGUGAGCUUGAGCUCUGCCAACACUGUCAGAGGUGGGACAGCGAGAGCUGAGAUUUGUCUCUGCUGGAGACCAGUGGAAUCUCCUGUGGCUGGAAAAGAACUUCUGGGACUACUCCUCUGGCCAGAGGUGAACAAAACAAGCCACAGUUUUCUGUCAAGUGGAAUGUCAUAAUUACCACUGCUACCACUCUUUGGCAAACUGGCAACUAAGCCAGUUGGUAAUUUACAGAUCGGUGCUUUUACCCAGUGCCUUUACACAUUUAUAUCUAUUUUAUAAUCAAGAGUUCAUUGUUUAUACAACAUUAUAAAGUGUAAUAACUUGCACUUUGGAUUUGUUUUCUAUAUAUUUUACAUAAAUUUCAUGAGAACACUGAAUUAGUUUGUUAGAAUUAAUAAAACCCUGAAAAGUUAGAAGUCAUGUUUUAUACCAUUCUGGGUUUUGCUUGAAUAUAUCUCAAACUAAUACACAAGUACAAAACUUAAACAGUUACGUAGUUUUUAGUUCAAUACAUUCUGUAAUGAAUUUGCGUGAGAGAAAGAGCAAGAAUUAUUUGAAAUCUGAAGAUCUGCGUUUCAAGUCAUGCCCUGGAGAUGGUAGCUGUUCUUCUGCUAACAGCAACGCUUCGUGCUUCAGUGGAGGGAAAAGAUUAGCCUAGGAAGUAGCUUGUUGCUGAGUGCAUCAGAAGUGCAGUGUCUCAGGUCUCUGAGCACAUACCCUAAGCGUUCCUCUUCAGAGGCUGCCGCUUCAGAUCUUACAUAAGAACACUUUGACUUCAUACCUCAGUUUUGCUUCAGGACACAAAUCUUCUCUAUAUCUUCUCCUGAGCAUCAUUCACUCUUAAGAAAUUUAUCCUCUGUGAAAAUAAACCCUUUGUUAGGAGAGAGCAACAGAUAGAUGACCACAUAUAUGACAUAUGAUCUAUGCACACUAAUCAAAUGAAAGUGCUUUAAUCAUAAUUUGAAACUGUAGAUAAGUUUCAUUAAACAAAGUUUUACACUUUUUUUAAAAUACCUAAUGCACUGACUAUGAACUUACUUGCAAUUUGGAGGAGCCAAACAUAUAGGGCGCAUUAAAGCAAUAGGUGCACAAUACUUUUUGUCUCAGAAAUGCUGGUGGCUAAGCUGCUGUUGUCUAUCCCAUGUGACACCAAAAGUGAUAGGAGUAUAUUGUUGUCCCAGAAAACUGCCAAUCUCACGUAGGUAUCUUGAGGUGGCAGAUGGUCAUGUCUUUGUAACAACGGUACAAAUGAUCAUGCGGUUUAUUUUUAGUGAUGUAAAUUUGGAAAAGCAAAUCCAGGUGCUCGGGGGAAAAUAUAAACUUGAAGGAG